GACGAACGCUGGCGGCGUGCCUAAUACAUGCAAGUUGAGCGCUGAAGGCUGGUACUUGUACCAACUGGAUGAGCAGCGAACGGGUGAGUAACGCGUGGGGAAUCUGCCUUUGAGCGGGGGACAACAUUUGGAAACGAAUGCUAAUACCGCAUAAAAACUUUAAACACAAGUUGGAAGUGUGAAAGAUGCAAUUGCAUCACUCAAAGAUGAUCCCGCGUUGUAUUAGCUAGGUGGUGAGGUAAAGGCUCACCAAGGGGAUGAAACAGAGCCGCCCUGAGAGGAGGGUUGGCCGCACUGGGAGGGUGACCCGCCACAAAGGCCUACGGGAGGGGCCCGGAGGGAAUCUUCGGCAAGGGGCGGAAGUCUGAGCGCGCAACGCCGCAGGAGUGAGGAAGAUUUUCGCGUCGUGAAUCUCUGUUGUUAGGGAAGAACCUUGGUGCGACUGGAACGCACAGCGAGUGACGGUAACUACCCAGAAAGGAACGGCUAACUACGUG
Molecule: ribosomal RNA, 497 nt
Filed under: uncultured bacterium
Lineage: Bacteria
Description: partial 16S ribosomal RNA
Rfam family: Bacterial small subunit ribosomal RNA
Source: RNAcentral